CACUGUGUAUGGCAUGCUGCACUAAGUUUCUUGCUUUUAUGCUCUCACGCACUCUUUCUCCAUUCCCCUCUCUCUUCUUCCAUCUGCUGGAGCUGCUCGCCUUUCUGUCGGGGACACCGAAGCAUUCAUGCGGCUGAGAGCCAUUCUAUUAUUCAGCUAUAAGUUCUGGAUGACAAAGGAAAGAGAAGAGGGGCAAAUCACCCACUGAAGAGGAAGAAAAUAGCCACACAUUUUGAUGCCUGGAGGAUGAAACCUCCUAUGUUAUUUCCUUCCGUCUUUCUCUCUAUGUCCAUUUUGAUUAAUGGACAUCAUUAGAAAUAGACACAGGCUAUCAGAACUUGAAUGAAUCAGGCAGCUGCAGUUACCCACGAUGCUCUGCAUAGUCGGAGCAGUAUAGAGUGGUGCAGCUUUAAUGACAAAUCGAAAUGACAGAAUAUGUUUGGAAAAAAAAUCCAUGGCAACCAUGGCUGCAAAGGACGGCAAUCGAUAUCGUUUUGGUUAUGCAGCAGCUACAAGUUUGAACUGAGGAGGACAGAGAGCCAAAUAGAAAGGAGGAUGGAUAUGAUGUCCACCUGACUCAUUCUCUCCUGCUUGCUGUGUUGCAGUAAUGGCCCGGCUGUGGACAACAAACAUAUCCAUCCAUAUGACCCCUGAGACGGAGGCCUGAUGAUAAUUCCCAAAACACACUGCACUCGCACACACACAUGCACAUGCAUAGAGAGAGAGCACAGUGUGAGAGAGAGACACUCCCACACGCCCUUACCAGCACUGUGUUAUUUUAAACCAGCACAUUCCCUUAAAAUAAAAAGAAGAAAUAAAGAGGUGAAGUCUAUUUCAAAAGCAAACUCCCACACCUGGAGGACCUGUCAAGCACUGUCUGCUAUUGAGCUCCAGCACUAUAUCAAGCUAAUGGGGGGAAAAGUGGGUCAACAAGAAUUAUUCAUGAGGUUCCUCCAUUUAAAAGCAGACACUUUGUGUAUGUCUCAGAGAAAAAUAGAAAAAGUCUCAGACAACAUGGUUGAUGAGACACAUAUCUGAAUUAUAAAUCACACAAGUCAUUAGUUCAACCUGCUACUACAACUGAUGCUACCCGUAAUCGAUAAGCUAACAGCAUUCAGUUAGACAGAAGACGAGGCUAAACUACAAAAUGAUAACUAUUCGAUAUUCAUGGCAUGUUUAUUCAGCUUUAGUAUUUGCACAUCCUUUUUCAUGAAAAGAUUUUUAUGCAACAGAAUGGGGGCGGACUUAAUACUGGCUAUUCAAUAACCAAAAUUCACUUGCUUCAGUUACGACACACAGGAAGGAAAUUCUUUAAUAUGCAAUAUGGCCAAAAGACAGUUAUGAGAUUAAAUGGAGAGCACUGGAGACUUAAGUUAAGACUUAAGGAGGCUUAAGUUCUGUUUCUCCAAUUAUUCUCUGAGAAAAGACUACAAUAAUUUCAGAAGGGACCUGAGCAAUGUCUUAAAGGAAUAGUUUAUCCAAAAAUGAAAAUUACCCCAUGAUUUACACACUCUCAAGUCAUCCUAGGUGUAUAUGAUUUUAUUCUUUCAGACGAAUAUUAUCAGAGUUAUAUUAAAAAAUGUCAUGACUCUUAGAAGCUUUAUAAUGGCAAUGAAUGGGGGUUGAGAUUUUGUAGCACAAAAAAAUGGCAUCCAUCCAUCAUAAAAAGUGCUCCACACAGCACCAGCGGGUUAAUAAAGGACUUCUGAAGUGAAUCGAUGCAUUUGUGUAAGAAAAAUAUCCAUAUUGAAAACUUUAGAAA
Long non-coding RNA from Cyprinus carpio carpio, 1762 nucleotides. The record is from Ensembl. NCBI's taxonomy places the organism in Eukaryota, Metazoa, Chordata, Actinopteri, Cypriniformes, Cyprinidae.